RNAcentral lists this small nuclear RNA (23 nucleotides) under Arabidopsis thaliana (thale cress). RNAcentral's name for it is "snRNA_19293". Lineage: Eukaryota; Viridiplantae; Streptophyta; Magnoliopsida; Brassicales; Brassicaceae. The record is from RNAcentral.
AGAAUAAAGGAUCAGAUUAUUGU